Molecule: long non-coding RNA, 1213 nt
Organism: Peromyscus eremicus (cactus mouse)
Lineage: Eukaryota; Metazoa; Chordata; Mammalia; Rodentia; Cricetidae
Exons: 2
Source: RefSeq, a predicted model, not a curated record
CUGAAAGAAUUGGGCAUUGGGCUUUGGCCACCCGUACUAGCAGGCCGGUUGUUUAUUUUUUUUUUGGAGCAAACGUUGGUGAUUCGGGAAGGCCUGAGGUAACUGCAGUCACCUGUAAGGCCUCACCGGAAGUCGGUGACAAAAACACAAAAUCCAACCACCCACCGUAGGGAGGAAAACUGACAGCCAAAAAAGUCGCAAACACAAGGGAAAGUGCAUGCUGCCGGUGACCACGGGGGCAUCAGAGGGAAUCAGAAGGUCGCAGGCCUCCUGGCGCGCGUUCUACCUGCCCACGCGGGCUCUGGUCAUCCUGGACCCCAGGCCCGACAGGGAUGCGCGUGGGCCGAGACAGCGGCCUUUCCACGGCGCCAGACCAGGCCCCAAAGGGCCAGCGAGGGUCCGCGGCGUGCUGCGCCAAGAGGCCACCGCUCUCCUCGGCCAACCGGCCUAGCCAAGGCUGGAGGGAGAGGGCGCUAAGUCCUCGGGUACCUGGGCAGGAGUAAGGCCUGAAUGCCCAGCCCCCUCCUCCCUCAGCACCCCCGAUGUGGCUCUGCAGGGUAACGGCUGCCCUGCAGUCACCCUCGGCUGCAGAGGGAGCCCGCGGCGUCCAGUCGGCGACCCGGGGCCUCCUCCCCUGCCUCCUUCGCCGCCUCCUUCCACGUUCCCACCCCUGCCACGAGCACCGCCCCAUUACUUGAUUAGGUCCCUGUAGUCCACGAAGGAUAAGAUGAGCAGAAGGGGGUCGGUGGGCAGCGACUCCAGGGUGAACGGCCCGAUCUCGGCCUCCACGGCAGCCAUCUUGCCCGGCCCGCUGCAGCCCGGCACCACCCCGGCCCCGCCCCCGCCGCCCGAACCGCUCGGCGGCCGCUGGCACAGAUUUGGGACCACAAGCUGAGGGGCUGAACUGAAUAAGACCAUUGGAGGACGGGAAGAUGUGAUUCUUCAGCUUUGUAGAAAUUAUAUUAAGGUGGGUGUGGGAGAAGUGUGGUGGAUGAGAUCAUGGACCAAGGAGUAAAUUCUUCUUUUCCGUUGAUUUCACAGGGGCUGUUCCAUAGAGAGCCUUGGGAAAUCCAAAAGACCUGGACUUCACAUACCGGUCACUUACGUCACUAGUAGUGAGAUGGCGCAUUAGUUAUCUGUAUCUAAGUUCUGUGAAGUGGUCCUCAUCUCCAAAACCACUCCUCCUAUUUGUUAAUAAAUGUUAAUUUCCCAA